Molecule: long non-coding RNA, 366 nt
Filed under: Elaeis guineensis (African oil palm)
Lineage: Eukaryota; Viridiplantae; Streptophyta; Magnoliopsida; Arecales; Arecaceae
Description: long non-coding RNA (EGUI_LNC065759)
Source: RNAcentral
AAUCUGACAUUGAAGUACGUAAUGAUAAAUUAGUUUGUAUCACAUACAAAUCUUUAGCAACAUUUGCCGGUUUCACGGUUGCAAGAUACUCCUUACAAUUUCUCUUCCAGUGACCCUCUUUGCCAUAGUGAUAGUAAGUACCUUUGGUGGAGACCUUCUUUGCCUUCUUCUUGGAGAUGACAGUCUUAGAGUGUAUCUUUUUCUUAGAAUUUUUCUUUGUCUUCUUCUUGCCGAUCUUAUCAACAAGAAGUACCGAAGCCUUUUCAUCUUUGAAAUAGCUCUCUGCUGUUUUCAGCAUGUUCAGUAGUUCUGGCAGGCUGAUGUUUAGUUUGUUCAUAUGAUAAUUUAUGACAAACUGAGAAAACA